This 100-nucleotide ribosomal RNA is filed under the name vertebrate environmental sample. RNAcentral describes it as "partial 12S ribosomal RNA". Lineage: Eukaryota; Metazoa; Chordata. The record is from RNAcentral.
UCAGCCAUAAACCUAGACAUCCAACUACAAUUAAACGUCCGCCCGGGUACUACGAGCAUUAGCUUGAAACCCAAAGGACCUGACGGUGCCUUAGACCCCC